AUUGCAACCACAGCAGUGAAGUUGACGAGUAAGGCCUCAGAGCCGUAUUUGGCAAGUCCCGAGUUCUCCAAGAAUGUGAGCUUCUCCAAUAACCCUAAAGCAGCAUUGGCAACUGCCAAAAUAUAUACGAAUACCCCAAAUACCACAUGCCAAGGCAGGGACUCGCUCCUAACUGUAGUUGAACCUCCGGGGAAGAAAAAUACAAGAAACCCGUAUAUCCACUGAAUGCCAUAAAGGACAAUGAUCACAAUGCCAAGCCAUGAAUGCAAGCUGUAAAGAUUGGCAAUGCCACUCUCAUUAUGAUAUUUGAAAGCAGUAUAGAUGCCAAUUAUACCCAGAAUUAGUGCAACGGCAUGCAGAACCAAAUGUACCAAUUUCUUCUCUUGUUUCUUCAAAGGAAGAGAUUUAUAACUCAUAAUGGCUU
This 424-nucleotide unclassified non-coding RNA is filed under the name Hevea brasiliensis (rubber tree). The record is from RNAcentral. Lineage: Eukaryota; Viridiplantae; Streptophyta; Magnoliopsida; Malpighiales; Euphorbiaceae.